RNAcentral lists this RNase P RNA (414 nucleotides) under Caballeronia jiangsuensis. Its description in RNAcentral is "bacterial RNase P". It matches the Rfam family "Bacterial RNase P class A". From Rfam's summary of the family: Ribonuclease P (RNase P) is a ubiquitous endoribonuclease, found in archaea, bacteria and eukarya as well as chloroplasts and mitochondria. Lineage: Bacteria; Pseudomonadati; Pseudomonadota; Betaproteobacteria; Burkholderiales; Burkholderiaceae. The record is from RNAcentral.
AAAGCGGGCCAGGCAAUCGCGGCCUCGACGGUUUCGGCCAAAGAGGGCGAGGAAAGUCCGGACUCCACAGGGCAGGGUGAUGGCUAACGGCCAUCCGUGGCAACACGCGGAACAGGGCAACAGAAAGCAAACCGCCGAUGGCUCCGGGCGCAAGUCCGGAGAUCAGGUAAGGGUGAAACGGUGCGGUAAGAGCGCACCGCGGACGUCGCGAGACGAUCCGGCACGGUAACCUCCACCCGGAGCAAUUCCGAAUAGGCAGGCGCGCAUCCACGCGAUGCAGGACGGGGCCCCCGUCCGUCUGCGGGUAGGAAGCUUGAGCGCGUCAGCAAUGGCGCGUCUAGAGGAAUGAUUGCCACGCGCGUUCGGUUUCGGUCGGCGCGUGCACAGAAUCCGGCUUAUCGGCCCGCUUUGUCG